RNAcentral lists this ribosomal RNA (383 nucleotides) under uncultured bacterium. RNAcentral describes it as "bacterial SSU rRNA". It matches the Rfam family "Bacterial small subunit ribosomal RNA", at positions 28 to 412 of the family's 1533-position model. The record is from RNAcentral.
GACGAACGCUGGCGGCGUGCUUAACACAUGCAAGUCGAGCGGUAAGGCCCUUUCGGGGGUACACGAGCGGCGAACGGGUGAGUAACACGUGGGUGACCUGCCCUCAGCUCUGGGAUAAGCCCGGGAAACUGGGUCUAAUACUGGAUAUGACUCCAUGACGCAUGUUGUGGGGUGGAAAGCCUUGUGCGGCUGGGGAUGGGCCCGCGGCCUAUCAGCUUGUUGGUGGGGUGAUGGCCUACCAAGGCGACGACGGGUAGCCGGCCUGGGAGGCGACCGGCCGACACUGGGACUGAGACACGGCCCAGACUCCUACGGGAGGCAGCAGUGGGGAAUCUUGCGCAAUGGGCGAAAGCCUGACGCAGCGACGCCGCGUGAGGGAUGAC